UAGAGACGGGGUUCCACCGUGUUAGCCAGGAUGGUCUCGAUUUCCUGACCUCGUCAUCCUCCCGCCUUGGCCUCCCAAAGUGCUGGGAUUACAGGCUUGAGCCACCGCGCCCCGCUCUUUCGUGUUCCAAAGGCUUUUUAAAUAAACUUCCACUCCUGUCCUGGAUUCUGCUUUAUGGCCCUCAGUCGAAUUCUUUCUUCUGAGGAGGCAAGGACUGAAGUUGCUUCUGACCAGUACAGGUACGCCGCAGGAGAAAACGAAUACAGCAGGGAUGACUUCCACCAGCUCCACUUUGCAGCUCUGAGGUGUAUUAAAAAUUUGUUUUUCAGAAACCUAGAGCCCCACCAAAUGAAUCCGCUGGCACGUGGACCUCAGAUGGGGGAAACUGAGGACUGAAUUCUGACCACCCUCCUUUGUUCUAAAUUUCUUCCUGAAGGACCUGGAAGAAGUCAUGCCACGGGCCAGACCUUAACAUUCCUUUCGGCUUACCCCAGGAUUUCAGACAAAGCUUCACUUUCCUAACCAGUCACAAAUCAGAGAAUUUUUGAUUCCACCUAUGACCUGUGAGCUCCUGCUUCAAGAUAUUCCACCUUUUUUAGGCCAAACCAAUGUAUAACCUCCAAGUGUCGAUUUACACUUUCGACUGUAACUUCUGCUUUCCUGAGAUUUACCCCUGCCUUUAAAAACCCUUGCUUGUAAUCCCUCAGGGAGGCCGUGUAUUUAUUAAUCAUGAGCUGCCCAAUUCUCCUUGCUUGGUGCCCUGCAAAUAAACACCCUCUUUUCUCCCACUGCAAAACCUCAGUGUGGAUGUUUGGCUUUACUUCACCCCCAGGAAAGCAGACCCAGGUUUGACUCAGCAACAACAUCUGUUUCUAUUUUUCUCUGUAUAAAUAUUAAAAACCAUAAGUACAUGCUAUCUCCAAUUCCAAUAUAAACCCAUA
Molecule: long non-coding RNA, 941 nt
Filed under: Homo sapiens (human)
Lineage: Eukaryota; Metazoa; Chordata; Mammalia; Primates; Hominidae
Description: HSALNT0132794
Source: RNAcentral